AUACGGAGGAUCCGAGCGUUAUCCAGAUUUAUUGGGUUUAAAGGGUGCGCAGGCGGGAGAUUAAGUCGGCGGUGAAAUUUUGCAGCUCAACUGUAAAAGUGCCUUCGAUACUGGUUUCCUUGAGUGUGGAUGAAGUAGGCGGAAUUUGUGGGGUAGCGGUGAAAUGCUUAGAUAUCACGAGGAACUCCGAUUGCGCAGGCAGCUUACUAAACCACUACUGACGCUCAGGCACGAAGGCGUGGGGAUCAAACAGGAUUAGAUACCCUGGUAGUCCACGCAGUAAACGAUGAUUACUGGCUGUUUGCGAUACAAUGUAAGCGGCUGAGCGAAAGCGUUAAGUAAUCCACCUGGGGAGUACGUUCGCAAGAAUGAAACUCAAAGGAAUUGACGGGG
Molecule: ribosomal RNA, 393 nt
Filed under: uncultured bacterium
Lineage: Bacteria
Description: partial 16S ribosomal RNA
Rfam family: Bacterial small subunit ribosomal RNA
Source: RNAcentral